CCCUCUCGAAUUCUCAGCCCUAUUUCUUUAUUCUCAAAUUCUCAGUCUCAGACUCACUCGAUUCAUAACACACACCUCACCUUUUUAAAUUCUGAUUUCUUCAUCUCUUUUUUCUUGCAAGUAUUCUAAUUUAUCUUCAAUUCUAAUUUCUUCAUUUCUCUCUUUCUUGACUAGGGUUUGGAUAUGUGUUUUGUUUGCAAAAAUAGUGACCAUGGCUCAUUAUCUCUCUUUCUUAGAGUGCUUCUCUUUGCUGCCAUUUGCAGGUUUUUUUACUAAUCGUGAAUUGGACUAACGUAAAUCGGGAAAUGCGAAGACAUUGUCCUUUUUUUUGUUUCCUUCCACAAAUUCCACGAAGUUUUUUCAUCCAAAUCUCACAGGUUUUGUCUUGCCAUACUUGAAGAAUAAGUUGCUCCUUUGCAGUUUCCUCAUUGUGCUUUCUUUGAUUUGUGGUGCUUAUUUCGUUGGUGAUGCAUUCGUUGCAAAGGAAUACAAACAAGUAUGCUUUUCUUUCCCCAAGUUUUAAUUUUAAAUUGCUAGAUAGAAAAUUAGGAAUUUUAUAGGAAAUUUUUUUAUGGUGUUGGUACAACGGUGGUUACUUCUUAUAGCUAUAUUAGUAAUGCAGUAGAUAUGUCUCUGGGAAAAAUAUACUGUAUACGAGCUGAUAUUUUCUAGUUGAUUCAGAACAUGUUGCUCACUUUCACAGUUUAAAACUAUCUCUGUAAACAAUUCUUCAAGCUGUUACUUUUUGGUAAAAUGUUGGAAAAAUAUAAUGCUGGUUGAUAUCUGUUCAUUCGAGUAUCAACAAGAUGUAUCUUCUGGCUUGUAUCUGCUGCUUGCAAUUGAUUAAAAAAAUUAAGAAGAUUCAGAAACUUGGACAGUCUAACAAAAUUUUUGUUCUUCUGAUCUUGUCAGAGGAAAAGAACAAUU
Gastrolobium bilobum is the source of this 927-nucleotide long non-coding RNA. RefSeq lists it as uncharacterized. NCBI's taxonomy places the organism in Eukaryota, Viridiplantae, Streptophyta, Magnoliopsida, Fabales, Fabaceae. The transcript has 3 exons. The record is from RefSeq and is a predicted model, not a curated record.